AAUAAACCCUGGUUUCCGUGUCCAACAUUUGACCGUUCGUCUUAUUUAAAAAAAUAUGAAAAAAAUUAAAAAGAUAAGUAAUGUAUAAAGUAUUAAUUAUGUUUUAUCAUCUAACAAUAAUGAAAAUACUAAUUAUAAAAAAAAUUCAUAUAAGACGAACAAUCAAACGUUGACACGAAAAUCUAGGGUUUGCCUUUUU
Molecule: microRNA precursor, 199 nt
Filed under: Oryza glumipatula
Lineage: Eukaryota; Viridiplantae; Streptophyta; Magnoliopsida; Poales; Poaceae
Description: MIR812 microRNA precursor family
Rfam family: MIR812 microRNA precursor family
Source: Rfam by way of RNAcentral